GGGAACCUCUCGAUUACCGCUUGCUUCCUUGCCCAUCAGUUCUUUGGAACGAACUCGAAGCCGCGGAGGAGCCAACUUGAAGGCCUAGAGUCAACAAUCAAGUAGUACAAAGAGAUUAAGGAAAGAGAGAAAGUGACCCGCUUCCUAUUAGCCCUAAACCACAGUUGGUGACCUUUCUACUCGCAGACCCUUCAGCAGUGCUGCCGCUUUGGCUGCAUUUUCCAGCUUGCUGUCCAAGAAGAAAACCAGCACCUUGCGACCACCGGACAUGAGAGGGGAGGAGAAAGCUCCAGGUCGAUGAUGGAAAGAUUUUGGGUCACCCUCACGGCGGCUUCCGCGUGCCGCAGCGAGCGGCCAGCUCCAGGUCGGGCUCGGGAGGAAACCACCCGUGAACGAUCGAGGAAAAGGAGGAAGACGAUUGCGGUAAUCCUAGAAGUUACCGAUUCA
This 447-nucleotide long non-coding RNA is filed under the name Eucalyptus grandis. RNAcentral's name for it is "long non-coding RNA (EGRA_LNC004786)". The record is from RNAcentral. Lineage: Eukaryota; Viridiplantae; Streptophyta; Magnoliopsida; Myrtales; Myrtaceae.